Molecule: long non-coding RNA, 620 nt
Organism: Vombatus ursinus (common wombat)
Lineage: Eukaryota; Metazoa; Chordata; Mammalia; Diprotodontia; Vombatidae
Exons: 3
Source: RefSeq, a predicted model, not a curated record
UGCAGAGAGACAUGAGGGGGGACAGGACCUGCAGACCAGUGGAGACUCCGGCCCGGAGCCCAGGAUGAAGGACUGGGAGUCCUGAGCUUGCCUUCGGUGCCCCAUUGGUGCUGCAUCACAUUUUUCUGCUGACAGAGGAUUCUCCCUGGACAGCUGCUGUUCACCCUUUGUUCUCCAAGAGGACCGUUCUAAAACAAGGAGGAAAAGGAUGAUUUUGCAAACACUUCCUGAGCUUCUACCAGGAGAAGCAGAAAGAAAAGGUACAACGAAUGCACAAGACAGCUGCAAAGUAAGAAGAAAGACGGGCAGAAAAGAGAUUUCAGAUCUGGAAGGAGAAGCAACCUCAGGACUCAUCCGGCCUCCCACCCUCACUUUACAGAUGAAUGAACCGGGGGCCUAAGAAGGGGAAGCGUCUGGGGAGUAGGCAGCAAAGGCAGGGUGGGGAACAAUCAAUAAGUAUUUAGUCAAUGUCUCUGCUAAUAGUGAACAAGGGCCUUUGGUGCACAAGGCUCUGUUGGGAAUGUGUUUGAGACACUCUUAAAAGAGGGUUCUAGAGAGAGAGAGAAAGAGAGAAAGAGCCGGGAGAGGCCGCUAGGUGGCGCUGCAGCGGAACGAGCACC